Piliocolobus tephrosceles (Ugandan red Colobus) is the source of this 1864-nucleotide long non-coding RNA. The record is from Ensembl. NCBI's taxonomy places the organism in Eukaryota, Metazoa, Chordata, Mammalia, Primates, Cercopithecidae.
UUUUUUUUUUUUUUUUUUUUUUUUUUUUUUUUUUUUUUUUUGCUUUAUUCGGUUCGUUUUUUUUUUUCUGUUUUUUUGUCUAUAGCCUUGUUAUUUACCUUUUCCUUUUUGUUAGUAGGUUGUUUUACAGCUUUGUUGUUAUUUUCUUUUGUUUGCGUAACAGUUUUAUUAAUCUUCAUUUUAUCGUUUUUUUUUUCAUUUACUUUUUCAUUUACUUUUUCAUUUACUUUUUCAUUUACUUUUUCAUUUACUUUUUCAUUUACUUUUUCAUUUACUUUUUCAAUUACUUUUGCAUUUGUUUUUUUUUUCAUUUACUUUUUCGUUUUUCUUCUUAUCUACUUUAUCAUUUUUUUUUUCAUUUAUUUUAUCAUUUUUUUUUUUAUCUACUUUUUCGUUUAUUUUUUUAUUUACUUUAUCAUUUUUUGGUUUUAUUGUUUUAUCAACUUUUUUAUCAUUUUUUUUGUUAAUUUGUUUCUCAUUUUUUUUAUUAACCUGUUUUUCAGUUUGUUUUUCAAUUUGUUUUCCAUUUACUUUUUCAUCUUUACUAUCAUUUUUUUUUUAUUUGUUUUGUUAGUAGCAUUGUCAGUGGCAUUUUUGCUGUUUGCAUUUUUAUUGUUUGUAUUUUCAUUUUUUUUCUUCAUUUUUUUACCAGUUUGUUCUUUUUUAUUAAUUAGUUUAUUUGUUACUGUUUUGUUAUUUUGCUUUUUUUGCAUAUCCGUUUUUUUGUUAGAUGUUUUCUCUGUUUGUUUAUUUUUACUGUCACCUUUUUUUAUCUUGUUUUACCUUACCCAUUUUAUUAUUAAUAUCUUUUUUAGAUUUAUUAAUAUUAUUUAUUUUUUUUUGAGUUACUUUUUGUUUCGUUCUUAUUUUUAUCAUUUUUCGAUAUAUUUUUUGUAGACUUGGUUUUUGUUUUUUCAUUUAAAUUAUUUGGUUUACUUUUUUUUUGAGCUGUUUUUUUGACCUGUUUUUUUUUCCUUAUCAGUUUUUGUUUUAUUAUCUGCAAUAGUUUUUUCAUCUGUUUUAUUAAUGUCUUUAUAAUUUUCUUCGUUUUUCUCAUUUACAUUCUCAGUUUGAUUAUCUAUAUUUUCAGAAUAUUCACCUGUAAUCUUAACGCUAUCCUCUGCGUUUUCGUUUUUUUUCAUUAAUUUCGUUUUCUACAUGUUCAUCCAUUUUUCCAUCUGUAUUUUCUCCGUCUUCUUUCUCUUCUUUCUCUUCAUUCUCUUCUUUCUCUUUCUCUGUCUCUUGUUCUUUUUCUGUUUCGGAAUUAUUUUCUUCAAAACUCGGUUCUUGACUUAUCUCUAAUUGAUUAGAUUCUAAUUGGUUAUAUUCCUCUUGGUCAGAGUUUUUAUUAUUAUCACUACUUAUUACUUCAUAGUCUUUAUUACUUUCAUUAUCAUCCUCUCUUGUCAUUUCUUCAUCUGUUCUCAUAUUUUCAUCAUCAUUACCUUUUUCUUUUUCGGUAUUUAUAUUUUCACUAUAUUCUGUGACUAAUUUAUUACUAUCAAUUUGUUCAUUUUCUACGGAUGUAUCUUUUAUUGUAUCUUCAUCGUUCUCAUUAACUGAAAGAAAAUUAAUUACAUGUCCAAAAGACAUAUCGUCAUCUAUUUUUUUUUGAAAAUAAGAAACUUUAGAAUUAUUUUGUAUGAUCAAAUGUGAUCUUAUUAUUUCGUCUUCUUCAUUUAUACAACCUAGUUUUUUUAACAGGUCUUUUUCUGUAUCGAAUAAUAGUUGAGUUGUUAAUUCUUCUGACCACAUUAUCUACGAGUGGAAAUGGUAAAACGGAAAAAUUAUAGAAAGGAAAAAUGGAAAAAAGACAAAACGAUAGAAAGACAAAAAUAAAUAGUCACCCGAAAUUAGUUUUACA